This 72-nucleotide transfer RNA is filed under the name Loxodonta africana (African savanna elephant). It matches the Rfam family "tRNA". From Rfam's summary of the family: Transfer RNA (tRNA) molecules are approximately 80 nucleotides in length. Their secondary structure includes four short double-helical elements and three loops (D, anti-codon, and T loops). Further hydrogen bonds mediate the characteristic L-shaped molecular structure. tRNAs have two regions of fundamental functional importance: the anti-codon, which is responsible for specific mRNA codon recognition, and the 3' end, to which the tRNAs corresponding amino acid is attached (by aminoacyl-tRNA synthetases). tRNAs cope with the degeneracy of the genetic code in two manners: having more than one tRNA (with a specific anti-codon) for a particular amino acid; and 'wobble' base-pairing, i.e. permitting non-standard base-pairing at the 3rd anti-codon position. The record is from Rfam by way of RNAcentral. Lineage: Eukaryota; Metazoa; Chordata; Mammalia; Proboscidea; Elephantidae.
UUUCUGGUGGCAAAGUGGUUAAGCACUUGGCUGCUAACUGAAAGAUCAGUGGUUCGAACCCACUCAAGCAGC